RNAcentral lists this long non-coding RNA (1068 nucleotides) under Manacus vitellinus (golden-collared manakin). Its description in RNAcentral is "lncRNA (ENSMVIG00005015733.1)". Lineage: Eukaryota; Metazoa; Chordata; Aves; Passeriformes; Pipridae. The record is from RNAcentral.
UUUUUGGGGGGUGUUGUGUGUUUUUUGUAUUUUUUUGGGUGUUUGUGUGGGUAUUUUUGGGGGGUUUUGUGUUUUUUUGGGUUUUUUUAGUUCUUUUUUAGUUUUUGUUGGUUUUUUGGUUUUUUUGUUUCUUUGUUUUGUUUUUUGGUUGUUUCUUUGUUUGUGUUUUUUGUGUUUUUUGGUGGGUUUUUUUGGUUUUUUUUUGUUUUUUUUUGUUUUUUUUGUGGGUUUUGUUGGUUUUUUGUGUUCUUUUUUGCCUUUUUUGUAUUUACUUGUUUGUUUUUGUUUAUUUUUUGUGGUUUUUUGUUUUUUGGUUUUUUUUGUUUGUUGUUGUUGUUUUGCUUUUUUUGUUGUUUUUUUUUUUGUUGUUUUUUGUGUUUUUUUGGUUUUGUUUGUUUGGUUUUGUUUUUUUGGGUUUUUUUUGGGGUUUUUUUGUAUUUUUGGGGUGGUUUUUUUGUUUGUUUUUCUUUUUUUUGUGUUUGUUUGUUUGUUUGCUUGUUUGCUUUUUUUUGUUUGGUUGGUUUGUUUUGGUUUUUUGUGGUUUUUUUUGUUAUUUCUGAGGGUUUUUUGUGGGUUUCUUUGGGGUUUUUUUGUGUUUUUUGUUUUUUUUGUGGUUUUUUUGUUUUUUUUUUUUUUGUGUGUGUUUUUUGUUUUUCUUUUUUUGUUUUUGUGUUUGUUUUGUUUAUUUUUUGGUUCUUUUUUGGUUUUUUGGGGGGGUUGUUUGUUUGUUUUGGUUUUUUUUGUUGUUGUUUCUUGUUUAUUUUUGUUUUUUUUGUUUGUUUGUUUUUGUUUUUUUUAGGGGGGUUGUUUUUUUCUUUUUUUUUUUUUUUUUUUUUUUUUGGUUUUGGGGGGUUUUGGUUUUUUUGGGUUUUUUGUGUGUUUUUGUUGUUGUUGUUGUUGUGUUUGGGGGUUUUUUGGUGUUUUUUUGGUGUUUUUUUGGUUCCUUUUUUUUGGUUUUUUUUUUUGGUUUUGUGUUUGUUUUUUGUUUUUUGGGUUUUUUUGAGUUUUUUUGGUGUAUUCUAUGAAAUAAGAAAUGGAAAAUGCUACACUGGUAUUGUUCCAUCAUUA